Molecule: ribosomal RNA, 429 nt
Filed under: Escherichia coli
Lineage: Bacteria; Pseudomonadati; Pseudomonadota; Gammaproteobacteria; Enterobacterales; Enterobacteriaceae
Description: partial 23S ribosomal RNA
Rfam family: Bacterial large subunit ribosomal RNA
Source: RNAcentral
CUGACCGAUAGUGAACCAGUACCGUGAGGGAAAGGCGAAAAGAACCCCGGCGAGGGGAGUGAAAAAGAACCUGAAACCGUGUACGUACAAGCAGUGGGAGCACGCUUAGGCGUGUGACUGCGUACCUUUUGUAUAAUGGGUCAGCGACUUAUAUUCUGUAGCAAGGUUAACCGAAUAGGGGAGCCGAAGGGAAACCGAGUCUUAACUGGGCGUUAAGUUGCAGGGUAUAGACCCGAAACCCGGUGAUCUAGCCAUGGGCAGGUUGAAGGUUGGGUAACACUAACUGGAGGACCGAACCGACUAAUGUUGAAAAAUUAGCGGAUGACUUGUGGCUGGGGGUGAAAGGCCAAUCAAACCGGGAGAUAGCUGGUUCUCCCCGAAAGCUAUUUAGGUAGCGCCUCGUGAAUUCAUCUCCGGGGGUAGAGCACU